Molecule: ribosomal RNA, 410 nt
Filed under: uncultured microorganism
Description: bacterial SSU rRNA
Rfam family: Bacterial small subunit ribosomal RNA
Source: RNAcentral
CAGCCGCCGCGGUAAUACGUAGGUGGCAAGCGUUGUCCGGAAUUAUUGGGCGUAAAGCGCGCGCAGGCGGUUCCUUAAGUCUGAUGUGAAAUCUCGCGGCUCAACCGCGAGCGGCCAUUGGAAACUGGGGAACUUGAGUGCAGGAGAGGGGAGCGGAAUUCCACGUGUAGCGGUGAAAUGCGUAGAGAUGUGGAGGAACACCAGUGGCGAAGGCGGCUCUCUGGCCUGUAACUGACGCUGAGGCGCGAAAGCGUGGGGAGCGAACAGGAUUAGAUACCCUGGUAGUCCACGCCGUAAACGAUGAGUGCUAAGUGUUGGAGGGUUUCCGCUCUUCAGUGCUGCAGCUAACGCAUUAAGCACUCCGCCUGGGGAGUACGGUCGCAAGACUGAAACUUAAAGGAAUUGGCGGG